AGCGAACGCUGGCGGCAGGCCUAAUACAUGCAAGUCGAACGGUCUCUUCGGAGGCAGUGGCGGACGGGUGAGUAACGCGUGGGAACGUGCCCUUUGGUACGGAACAACUGAGGGAAACUUCAGCUAAUACCGUAUGUGCCCUUCGGGGGAAAGAUUUAUCGCCAUUGGGGCGGCCCGCGUUGGAUUAGCUAGUUGGUGGGGUAAUGGCCCACCAAGGCGACGAUCCAUAGCUGGUCUGAGAGGAUGAUCAGCCACACUGGGACUGAGACACGGCCCAGACUCCUAUGGGAGGCAGCAGUAGGGAAUCUUGCGCAAUGGGCGAAAGCCUGACGCAGCCAUGCCGCGUGAAUGAUGAAGGUCUUAGGAUUGUAAAAUUCUUUCACCGGGGACGAUAAUGACGGUACCCGGAGAAGAAGCCCCGGCUAACUUCGUGCCAGCAGCCGCGGUAAU
This 450-nucleotide ribosomal RNA is filed under the name uncultured bacterium. RNAcentral describes it as "bacterial SSU rRNA". It matches the Rfam family "Bacterial small subunit ribosomal RNA", at positions 29 to 524 of the family's 1533-position model. The record is from RNAcentral.